This 695-nucleotide ribosomal RNA is filed under the name uncultured Variovorax sp. RNAcentral's name for it is "bacterial SSU rRNA". It matches the Rfam family "Bacterial small subunit ribosomal RNA", at positions 56 to 747 of the family's 1533-position model. Lineage: Bacteria; Pseudomonadati; Pseudomonadota; Betaproteobacteria; Burkholderiales; Comamonadaceae. The record is from RNAcentral.
UGCAGUCGAACGGCAGCACGGGAGCAAUCCUGGUGGCGAGUGGCGAACGGGUGAGUAAUACAUCGGAACGUGCCCAAUCGUGGGGGAUAACGCAGCGAAAGCUGUGCUAAUACCGCAUGAGAUCUACGGAUGAAAGCAGGGGACCUUCGGGCCUUGCGCGAAUGGAGCGGCCGAUGGCAGAUUAGGUAGUUGGUGGGGUAAAGGCCUACCAAGCCUGCGAUCUGUAGCUGGUCUGAGAGGACGACCAGCCACACUGGGACUGAGACACGGCCCAGACUCCUACGGGAGGCAGCAGUGGGGAAUUUUGGACAAUGGGCGCAAGCCUGAUCCAGCCAUGCCGCGUGCAGGAUGAAGGCCUUCGGGUUGUAAACUGCUUUUGUACGGAACGAAAAGGCUCUUUCUAAUAAAGAGGGCUCAUGACGGUACCGUAAGAAUAAGCACCGGCUAACUACGUGCCAGCAGCCGCGGUAAUACGUAGGGUGCGAGCGUUAAUCGGAAUUACUGGGCGUAAAGCGUGCGCAGGCGGUGAUGUAAGACAGUUGUGAAAUCCCCGGGCUCAACCUGGGAACUGCAUCUGUGACUGCAUUGCUGGAGUGCGGCAGAGGGGGAUGGAAUUCCGCGUGUAGCAGUGAAAUGCGUAGAUAUGCGGAGGAACACCGAUGGCGAAGGCAAUCCCCUGGGCCUGCACUGACGCU